CUCUUGAGGAAAUUUUUAUAUAAGAUUAUUAUUGAUUAAACAAAAAAACACAUCGUAUUAUUUCUCUCUUCCUCCAUAGCUUUUUGAAACCAUGAAUUACAAAGCAUUCACUUUGAUAUUGUUUGUAUUAAUUUUUUGUCUAUCGUCAACAAUGGCCUCUCGAAGAAUAUUAUCAGGUCCGGGAAGAAGUAGUAAAAUGCAAUCACGAUCUCGCCACCCUCGAGGAGAUAAAUCAGCAACUAUCCAACAACCACCUG
This is a long non-coding RNA of Solanum verrucosum, 257 nucleotides long. RefSeq lists it as uncharacterized. The record is from RefSeq and is a predicted model, not a curated record. The transcript has 2 exons. NCBI's taxonomy places the organism in Eukaryota, Viridiplantae, Streptophyta, Magnoliopsida, Solanales, Solanaceae.